GACGAACGCUGGCGGCGUGCUUAACACAUGCAAGUCGAACGGAAAGGCCCUGCUUUUGUGGGGUGCUCGAGUGGCGAACGGGUGAGUAACACGUGAGUAACCUGCCCUUGACUUUGGGAUAACUUCAGGAAACUGGGGCUAAUACCGGAUAGGAGCUCCUGCUGCAUGGUGGGGGUUGGAAAGUUUCGGCGGUGGGGGAUGGACUCGCGGCUUAUCAGCUUGUUGGUGGGGUAGUGGCUUACCAAGGCUUUGACGGGUAGCCGGCCUGAGAGGGUGAACGGCCACAUUGGGACUGAGAUACGGCCCAGACUCCUACGGGAGGCAGCAGUGGGGAAUAUUGCACAAUGGGCGGAAGCCUGAUGCAGCAACGCCGCGUGCGGGAUGACGGCCUUCGGGUUGUAAACCGCUUUCGCCUGUGACGAAGCGUGAGUGACGGUAAUGGGUAAAGAAGCACCGGCUAACUACGUG
Molecule: ribosomal RNA, 468 nt
Filed under: uncultured bacterium
Lineage: Bacteria
Description: partial 16S ribosomal RNA
Rfam family: Bacterial small subunit ribosomal RNA
Source: RNAcentral